Empidonax traillii (willow flycatcher) is the source of this 653-nucleotide long non-coding RNA. RefSeq lists it as uncharacterized. Lineage: Eukaryota; Metazoa; Chordata; Aves; Passeriformes; Tyrannidae. The record is from RefSeq and is a predicted model, not a curated record. The transcript is spliced from 5 exons.
GCAGUGCGGUGCUCGGGGGUACCUCAGCGGGACCGGGAAUGGGAGCGGGACCGGCCCUUCCCGGUCGGGUCGUGGCGAAGCUGAAGGACCCCUCGAUGUCGGGAAGGCGGUGCUGGCCGAGGAGAUCCCGCCCGGGCGGGGCCGCGCUGCCCUUCCCGCGCCAUGUUGUGGCGAAGCUCCCUGAGGGCCGGCCCCGCUCAGCCUCGGCCCCAGCGCUGAGCGGCCUUGGUGGGGGUACAUGAGGGGCAGAGUGAAGCCCAUCAGCAGGCAAAAGAUGAAGGGGCAAAGAUUGUGUGUCUUCAGAAAAGAGGGGUGAUGCUUCACACAAAGGCUGCCCACCAGAUGCCUUUGUUACACUGCUCUCCAAGAGACAAAGCCACGUGACUGGCAGAGCAGGAGGUGUCCCAGGCCCGAGUUCGGUUUGAGAGCAGGGCUGAGUUCUGGAAUGAUCUUCAAAUGUUGAAGGUCAUGGCCUAAGUUUCAGAAUUCCUCUUUCAGACAAAAGUGGCAACAGCAAAAGAAGCGAUUGGUGGUGUCUGCAUGUGAAGAUUUGCAGAUUCCUUGAAAGCUGAUCAUCUGUGUUUUCUCUACGUGGCUAAGAAGAAUUUAAAAAAAAAAAACUAAAUAAAGAUGCCACCUACCAUAAGUCUGAA